CAUAGAUUCAUAUCGUCAAGAUCAGAGGGUGGUCAUCACAAUGUGAAGUUUGUGGAGAAAAUGCGACAUUCACCGAAAAGCAAUUUCAAGAGUUUGACUAUGAGAAAUUCACACAAUCUCCCCUGUCCAUGUUUGCUGAUCUGCUAUACUAAUCUGCUAUUCUUCUGGUGCUGCUGUGUUGUUGCUGCUGUUGCUGAGAUGCUGUGGUGAUGCUGCUGUGAUGGUGAUUGUUACGAUGAGGUGUUGCGGUGUUGUUGUUGGAUGUUUGCUGGUGUUGUUGAUGUUUGGAAGGGUGCAGGACUUUUUGUCCAAUCUGUAAUAGAUUAGGUUUUCAUUAAUGGGGGUUGUCAUUAGGUGUAAGUUCGAGCAACUGCUGGUGUUUUGGAUGGAAGGGUAUG
Non-coding RNA from Camellia sinensis, 398 nucleotides. NCBI's taxonomy places the organism in Eukaryota, Viridiplantae, Streptophyta, Magnoliopsida, Ericales, Theaceae. The record is from RefSeq and is a predicted model, not a curated record.